UCUCCUGUAGCUCAGUGGUAGAGCGUCCGACCGGUGUGCGGAAGGUCAUACGUUCGACUCCUGUUGCGAGAA
Non-coding RNA from Desmophyllum pertusum, 72 nucleotides. Lineage: Eukaryota; Metazoa; Cnidaria; Anthozoa; Scleractinia; Caryophylliidae. The record is from the annotation of a GenBank genome assembly.